Erythranthe guttata (spotted monkey flower) is the source of this 1659-nucleotide non-coding RNA. The record is from RefSeq and is a predicted model, not a curated record. NCBI's taxonomy places the organism in Eukaryota, Viridiplantae, Streptophyta, Magnoliopsida, Lamiales, Phrymaceae.
AGAAUAGAAAGGGGUAAAGUGAUAUCGAGUCAAAGUAAAAGGGGAGAAAGUGGAAUUUACCCAACUAUUUAACAUGUACAUAAUUGUACAACUAUAUAUGCUGAGCGGUUUAAGUUUAAGUUUGCAUUUGCAUUUAUGUAAAAUUAAUUUAUGUAUAACAACCGUGUUUGCAUUUUUCUUGUGAAACUCCUCAAAGCAUCUAGAAUUUCCAGCAAUGCCAUCAGCCUUGGAGCUACUUCCAACCCUGUCAAGUACAUUGAAUUUGAAGAAUUGAAAAAGGCGACGGGAAACUUUCGAUCGUACUCGGAUUUAGGGGAAGGAGCGUUUGGUCAUUUUUCAAAAGGAUGGAUUAAUGAGAACACUCUUACUGCUUCGAAACCUGGAUUCGGAACAGCUGUUGCCGUCAAGAAAUGGAAAGGACUUGAAGGCUUAAACGACUGUUUGGUGUGUUUUACGAUCCUUUGGUUUUCCAUUAUAAUUUUUCUUCUGCUUCAUUGUUUUACCAACAACUACUUUUUACCUUGUACAGUACAUAGAAUUUGAAGAACUGAAGAAGAAGGGGACGAAAAACAUUCGAUCUUACUUGGAUAUAGGGGAAGGGCGGUUUAGUAAUUUUCGUAGAGGAUGGAUUGAUAAGCACAUUCUUACUGCUUCGAAACCUGGAUUUCAAUCGGCAGUGGCUGUCAAGAUGUUUAAAAGAUUUGAAGGAGGCUUUAAUGGCUGUUUGGUAUGUUUUUCCUUUAAUUAAUUUUCAUAAUAAUAAUAAUAGUUUGCUUGUGUGCCAAGUCAUGCUUUUACCAACCGGCCACUACAUAUUGCGCAGAACGAGAUCGGCUAUUUGAGUCGAUUUCGUCAUCCAAACAUAGUUAAACUCAUUGGAUAUUGCUAUGAAGAUGACAUCAUUUUGGUAUAUGAAUUCAUUCCCAAAGGAAGCUUGGACCGUCAUUUAUUCCGAGGUAAUAAAUUGUUAUUUUGAUGACUUACUUAUAUGACUAUGUUUAUAAACAUUGAUUAUUGCCCCCCGUGACAUAGGAUCACUUGAUCAAACACUGCCUUGGGCGACAAGAAUCAAAGUGGCUGUUGGUGCUGCUCGAGCACUAGCUUUCUUGUACUACAAUAAAAACCCAAUUGUACACCAAAGUUUUAAUACCGCUGACAUUCUUCUGGAUGGGGAAUUUAACGCGAAAUUGUGUAACUUUGGUUUGGCUACUGAUGUUUCCGACAGCGACAUUGAAUGUGUUGCAACAGGUGCUCACUUAAAAGAACAAUCGGAUGUGUAUAAAUUUGGGGUCUUUUUGGUGGAUUUAUUAUCCGGGAGGAGCAGAAACAGGUCUAUUUAUAACGACUACUAUCAUACUUCCGUAGAUUGGGCAAAACCAUAUUUGGGUGACGACAGAAAAUUUGCGAGGAUUAUGGACCCCAAACUAAAGGGUCAAUUCCCUCAUAACGCAGCAUUUACUGUUGCAACAAUUGCUCUGCAGUGCCUAAACGAAAUACCAAAGAUGGCUGAGGUUUUAGUUUCCUUGGAACAACUCUAAGUUUUCGAAAGCGUCAGCUAUUUAUUAUGGACUAAAACAAAUGAAUGUUCACCUUUUCACAUUUUUAUUUUAAAUUAAAGAGGUGCACGUGUGUUGCACGUGUCGAGCAAUGUUCCAUUUA